Molecule: transfer RNA, 67 nt
Filed under: Rana dabieshanensis
Lineage: Eukaryota; Metazoa; Chordata; Amphibia; Anura; Ranidae
Description: tRNA-Ser
Source: RNAcentral
GAGCAUAACCGGCGUAAUGGGGACUGCUAAUUACCCAUGCCCACAGUUCAAUUCUGUGGUUUGCUCA